RNAcentral lists this transfer RNA (71 nucleotides) under Thalassina squamifera. RNAcentral's name for it is "tRNA-Val". It matches the Rfam family "tRNA". Rfam says of the family: Transfer RNA (tRNA) molecules are approximately 80 nucleotides in length. Lineage: Eukaryota; Metazoa; Arthropoda; Malacostraca; Decapoda; Thalassinidae. RNAcentral also lists the same sequence under 1 other name. The record is from RNAcentral.
CAAGGUAGAGCUUAGUAGUUAAGCAUUUCACUUACGUUGAGAGGGGUUUCGUGCGAAUCGAAUUACUUUGA